RNAcentral lists this transfer RNA (66 nucleotides) under Pseudogriphoneura sp. ACMJ-2016. Its description in RNAcentral is "tRNA-Glu". The record is from RNAcentral. Lineage: Eukaryota; Metazoa; Arthropoda; Insecta; Diptera; Lauxaniidae.
AUUUAUAUAGUUUAAAAAAAACCUUACACUUUCAUUGUAAAAAUAAAAUAUUUUUUUUUAUAAAUU